CAGGCCUAACACAUGCAAGUCGGGCGGUAACAGAACUAGCUUGCUGGUUGCUGACGAGCGGCGGACGGGUGCGUAACACGUAGGAAUCUGCCCGGUAGUGGGGGAUAGCCCGGAGAAAUCCGGAUUAAUACCGCAUACGCCUUAAGAGGGAAAGCAGGGGACCCGUUUCUUUUAUAAGGAGCGAACCUUGCGCUAUCGGAUGAGCCUGCGUCGGAUUAGCUGGUUGGUGGGGUAAAGGCCUACCAAGGCGACGAUCCGUAGCUGGUCUGAGAGGAUGAUCAGCCACACUGGGACUGAGACACGGCCCAGACUCCUACGGGAGGCAGCAGUGGGGAAUAUUGCACAAUGGGCGCAAGCCUGAUGCAGCCAUGCUGCGUGUGUGAAGAAGGCCCUAGGGUUGUAAAGCACUUUCAGCGAGGAGGAAAGGGUGUAGGUUAAUACCCUGCAUCUGUGACGUUACUCGCAGAAGAAGCACCGGCUAACUCCGUGCCAGCAGCCGCGGUAAUACGGAGGGUGCGAGCGUUAAUCGGAAUUACUGGGCGUAAAGCGUGCGUAGGCGGCUUGUUAAGUUGGAUGUGAAAGCCCCGG
RNAcentral lists this ribosomal RNA (588 nucleotides) under uncultured bacterium. RNAcentral's name for it is "bacterial SSU rRNA". It matches the Rfam family "Bacterial small subunit ribosomal RNA", at positions 43 to 606 of the family's 1533-position model. The record is from RNAcentral.